This 287-nucleotide signal recognition particle RNA is filed under the name Saimiri boliviensis boliviensis (Bolivian squirrel monkey). Its description in RNAcentral is "Metazoan signal recognition particle RNA (ENSSBOG00000005863.1)". It matches the Rfam family "Metazoan signal recognition particle RNA". Rfam says of the family: The signal recognition particle (SRP) is a universally conserved ribonucleoprotein. The record is from RNAcentral. Lineage: Eukaryota; Metazoa; Chordata; Mammalia; Primates; Cebidae.
GCCAGGCGCGGUGGCACGUGCCUGUAGUCCCAGCUACUCAGGAGGCUGAGGUGAGAGGAUCGCCUGAGUCCAGGAGGUCUGGGCUGUAGUGCGCUAUGCUGAUCAGGUGUCCGUACUAAAUUCAGCAUCAAUAUGGUGACCUCCCGGGAGCGGGGGACCACUAGGUUCCCUAAGGAGGGGUGAACCGGCCCAAGUAGGUCAAAACUCCUGUGCUGAUCAGUAGUGGGAUUGCACCUGUGAAUAGCCACUGCACUCCAGCCUGGGCAACAUAGCAAGACCCCGUCUCU